AAUCCUGGUGGCGAGUGGCGAACGGGUGAGUAAUACAUCGGAACGUGUCCUGUAGUGGGGGAUAGCCCGGCGAAAGCCGGAUUAAUACCGCAUACGCUCUGCGGAGGAAAGCGGGGGAUCCUUCGGGACCUCGCGCUACAGGGGCGGCCGAUGGCAGAUUAGCUAGUUGGUGGGGUAAAGGCCUACCAAGGCGACGAUCUGUAGCUGGUCUGAGAGGACGACCAGCCACACUGGGACUGAGACACGGCCCAGACUCCUACGGGAGGCAGCAGUGGGGAAUUUUGGACAAUGGGCGCAAGCCUGAUCCAGCAAUGCCGCGUGUGUGAAGAAGGCCUUCGGGUUGUAAAGCACUUUUGUCCGGAAAGAAAACCGCCUGGCUAAUAUCCGGGCGGGAUGACGGUACCGGAAGAAUAAGCACCGGCUAACUACGUGCCAGCAGCCGCGGUAAUACGUAGGGUGCAAGCGUUAAUCGGAAUUACUGGGCGUAAAGCGUGCGCAGGCGGUUCGCUAAGACAGAUGUGAAAUCCCCGGGCUUAACCUGGGAACUGCAUUUGUGACUGGCGGGCUAGAGUAUGGCAGAGGGGGGUAGAAUUCCACGUGUAGCAGUGAAAUGCGUAGAGAUGUGGAGGAAUACCGAUGGCGAAGGCAGCCCCCUGGGCCAAUACUGACGCUCAUGCACGAAAGCGUGGGGAGCAAACAGGAUUAGAUACCCUGGUAGUCCACGCCCUAAACGAUGUCAACUGGUUGUCGGGCCUUCAUUGGCUUGGUAACGUAGCUAACGCGUGAAGUUGACCGCCUGGGGAGUACGGUCGCAAGAUUAAAACUCAAAGGAAUUGACGGGGACCCGCACAAGCGGUGGAUGAUGUGGAUUAAUUCGAUGCAACGCGAAAAACCUUACCUACCCUUGACAUGUACGGAAGUCCGCUGAGAGGUGGAUGUGCCCGAAAGGGAGCCGU
Molecule: ribosomal RNA, 956 nt
Filed under: Paraburkholderia graminis
Lineage: Bacteria; Pseudomonadati; Pseudomonadota; Betaproteobacteria; Burkholderiales; Burkholderiaceae
Description: bacterial SSU rRNA
Rfam family: Bacterial small subunit ribosomal RNA
Source: RNAcentral